GUAGGUGAACCUGCGGAAGGAUCAUUACUCUUAGCUUAAGUGCCUGUCACUUAUUGCUAUACUCUAAACACCAAACUGUGCUCUUUUCUUUUUCACCCCAUUCUCAGUUCCUUAUUAUUAAGGACUGGACCCUUUCUUUUUCUACAACUGACUCAUUGUGCGUUGGACCAGAAGCCCACCAUAGCUCUCUGUCUCCACUCACAUCUGUACUCUGAACACACAGACUUAAUCUUCUGUGCUGGCCAGUGUACUUGUUGAACCACAGGAUGUGACUGUACUUAACUAGAUUAAGUAUUGGUUCAUCUACGUGAAAACAACUCCGAACAAUGGAUAUCUCGGCUCUC
Molecule: unclassified non-coding RNA, 344 nt
Filed under: rhizosphere metagenome
Description: partial ribosomal RNA internal transcribed spacer region
Source: RNAcentral